AACACUUUCAUAAUUCAACAGAAUUACAAACAGAGGUCUACAGCCAAAAGUCUUCAAAAGACUGGCUCUUAAAAAUGAACUGUCCUACGACCUACAAGUCAUACACGCUCUCCAAUCCUUAUAACUUCAUCUUUGCAACUCCUCAAGGCCAACCAAAGCUAUCUGGUCGCUCCGUCCACCAGGGACCUGAAAUUUUAAUCCCACAACCGAGAUGAGACGAUGUCUUAGCAAGUUCAACCCCCUAAACCCCUAUUAGAAAGAAAAUACGCCCCGGGUGGCCUAGCCACAUCACACAGAAGACUUACCUCGCCUCAGCCUUCAUCUGCAGGUUAGCACAAUUUAUAUAAUUUAACCACAUACAAUUAUGAUAACCAAACAACCGUGGCACAAUCACAUUAUCAAAACAAUUCAACCACUUGGAUCGUCUCAGCGAUCAAUCGACUCGGCCGAUUACAUGUCAUUCUAGCAAAUCAAUCAUUGCUCUCAAUCCCGGCCCUAUAGGAAGGUUUAACAAUCAGUGGCAAUCACGGCCCCACUCGGCACGACCUUUAAUUAUGUGGUCCAUCACGGCCUCACUAGGCACGACCUCUAAUAGGUGGUUAAUUACGGCCUCACUGGGCACGACCUCUCCUAGGUGGUACAUCACGGCCUCACUGGGCACGACCUCUAAUAGGUGGUCAAUCACGGCCUCACUAGGCACGACCUCUCAUAGGUGGUUCAUCACGGCCCUAUUAGGCACGACCUCUCAUAGGUGGUCCAUCACGGCCUCACUGGGCACGGCCUCUAAUAGGUGGUUAAUCACGGCCUCACUGGGCACGGCCUCUAAUAGGUGGUUAAUCACGGCCUCACUGGGCACGACCUUUCCUAGGUGGUACAUCACGGCCUCACUGGGCACGACCUUUCCUAGGUGGUACAUCACGGCCAAUCUCCCAUCAAUUUCUACACUUAGGAUUUUAUAAAAAAAAAUCCCUAUUUAUCACAAUCACACUCCAUUUGCCACAAUCAAUCAUCAAAUGCACAGCAGCGAUCGGCACGAAAUUCUGAGAGUUUAGGGUCCUGACAAAAUUUUCGGAAUUUAUUAAAUAAUUAAAUUUAUUCCGAAAAUAAUUAAAUAAUAAUAUUCAUAUUUCUCACGAUCCACACUCAAUUUAUAAUAUCCAAUCAUCAAUUUCAAAAUUCGACUACACAGCAGCGAUCGGCACGAAAUUUUGAGCAACCGGGAUCAAAAGUAAUUUUUCCUUUUUUUUUUAAAUAAUAAUAUUUAAUAAUUUCGGAAUUAAUAUAAUAUUAUAAAUUUCCAGAAUUUCGAAGCAAUUAAAUAAUUCAAAAUUAAAAUCCUAUUAUGUCACAUCAAGGCUUUAUAUUAAAAAUAAACAUACUUAACUUUAAUCAUCAACCAAAUAAACUAAUAUAACUACAUAAACUUACUUAACUUAGACUAAGCACACUUAGGGCAUCAUUAACCGUCUAAUCAAGGUUUAGUGAGUUAAACUCACCGGAUUAGAGAGCCGAGCGAACCAAAAUGACGAGGACGACGCG
Molecule: long non-coding RNA, 1539 nt
Filed under: Eucalyptus grandis
Lineage: Eukaryota; Viridiplantae; Streptophyta; Magnoliopsida; Myrtales; Myrtaceae
Description: long non-coding RNA (EGRA_LNC004846)
Source: RNAcentral